GACGAACGUUGGCGGCGUGCUUAACACAUGCAAGUCGAACGGAAAGGCCCUGCUUUUGUGGGGUGCUCGAGUGGCGAACGGGUGAGUAACACGUGAGUAACCUGCCCUUGACUUUGGGAUAACUUCAGGAAACUGGGGCUAAUACCGGAUAGGAGCUCCUGCUGCAUGGUGGGGGUUGGAAAGUUUCGGCGGUUGGGGAUGGACUCGCGGCUUAUCAGCUUGUUGGUGGGGUAGUGGCUUACCAAGGCUUUGACGGGUAGCCGGCCUGAGAGGGUGACCGGCCACAUUGGGACUGAGAUACGGCCCAGACUCCUACGGGAGGCAGCAGUGGGGAAUAUUGCACAAUGGGCGGAAGCCUGAUGCAGCAACGCCGCGUGCGGGAUGACGGCCUUCGGGUUGUAAACCGCUUUCGCCUGUGACGAAGCGUGAGUGACGGUAAUGGGUAAAGAAGCACCGGCUAACUACGUGCCAGCAGCCGCGGUGAUACGUAGGGUGCGAGCGUUGUCCGGAUUUAUUGGGCGUAAAGGGCUCGUAGGUGGUUGAUCGCGUCGGAAGUGUAAUCUUGGGGCUUAACCCUGAGCGUGCUUUCGAUACGGGUUGACUUGAGGAAGGUAGGGGAGAAUGGAAUUCCUGGUGGAGCGGUGGAAUGCGCAGAUAUCAGGAGGAACACCAGUGGCGAAGGCGGUUCUCUGGGCCUUUCCUGACGCUGAGGAGCGAAAGCGUGGGGAGCGAACAGGCUUAGAUACCCUGGUAGUCCACGCUGUAAACGGUGGGUACUAGGUGUGGGGUCCAUUCCACAGGUUCCGUGCCGUAGCUAACGCUUUAAGUACCCCGCCUGGGGAGUACGGCCGCGAGGCUAAAACUCAAAGGAAUUGACGGGGCCCCGCACAAGCGGCGGAGCAUGCGGAUUAAUUCGAUGCAACGCGUAGAACCUUACCUGGGUUUGACAUGGAUCGGGAGUGCUCAGAGAUGGGUGUGCCUCUUUUGGGGUCGGUUCACAGGUGGUGCAUGGCUGUCGUCAGCUCGUGUCGUGAGAUGUUGGGUUAAGUCCCGCAACGAGCGCAACCCUUGUUCACUGUUGCCAGCACGUUAUGGUGGGGACUCAGUGGAGACCGCCGGGGUCAACUCGGAGGAAGGUGGGGAUGACGUCAAGUCAUCAUGCCCCUUAUGUCCAGGGCUUCACGCAUGCUACAAUGGCUGGUACAGAGAGUGGCGAGCCUGUGAGGGUGAGCGAAUCUCGGAAAGCCGGUCUCAGUUCGGAUUGGGGUCUGCAACUCGACCUCAUGAAGUCGGAGUCGCUAGUAAUCGCAAAGCAGCAACGCUGCGGUGAAUACGUUCCCGGGGCU
This 1346-nucleotide ribosomal RNA is filed under the name uncultured bacterium. RNAcentral describes it as "partial 16S ribosomal RNA". It matches the Rfam family "Bacterial small subunit ribosomal RNA", at positions 28 to 1381 of the family's 1533-position model. The record is from RNAcentral.